AGUAUAUUUCAAAAUUUUUUUAAUAAUUCUAUGAAAAAUACAGCACACUCUUCAAGAGUUCAAUCAGGUUUAAAUCAUAAAGAUAACACAAAUUGUAAUAACAAUACAAUUGUUACUACUACUCUAAAUUUUAAUAAUAGUAACAGCAAUAAUGGAAAUGCUAAUGUUAGUGUUAGUGCCAACAGUUGUGAUAACAAUAACUUUUUGCGAAAAUCUUAUGAAAUGUCUAAAUAUGGAAACAAUACACCUCAUAUCAUUCAACAUAAUGUCAAUAACAAUUACUUAAAACGUAAUGAGAAUCACAAUUUUGUUAAUAAACAUACAGAUAUGUAUGAACAUUGUUCAUAUUAUGCACAGGAUUCGACAAAUGAAAAAAAUGAUAUUUUUAGCGAAUUCUUAUUAUCUGACUGUGUACAAACAGGUCAAAAUAAUAAGAAAAAAAAUGAAUUAUUAAGUAAUGAAAAUAGUAUCGGUAACACCAGCGCAAAUACAAACGGAAACGGUAUUAACAAUAGUAGUACUGUUACGUCAAAAAAUCAUAUAAAAGAAAAUGUUGUUAGUAGUGGUAUUAAUAGUAGUACAACGAAUGCUCAAUUGGAACGUGUAUGUAAUAGUACAACUAAUAAUGAAAUUAGAAAUAAUGAAGAUGGAGGAAUGGAUCAGAAAGGAGUUCCUAAAAGGUGUAGUAAUAAUAAUAGUUAUGAUUAUAAUUACAACAAUCGCGAUAAAAAAAGUGAUGGGCAGAUACUUAUGGAAAAAGAACUGAAUGAGAAACAGUCAGAGCAACAGAGGGAAUUAUAUAUUGAACAUAACACAGACAUAUGGACUGGUACAUCUGUUAAAGAAGAAAAACACGUACAAAAGGAUGUACCGAAUGUACAUAUGCAGUGUUCUUCAUCAUAUGAAAAAAAUAACAUAAAAAGUAAUAGGUUGAGUGUAGGAGAUACUACUACAUAUGAAGAAAAAGAAGUUGCCCAAAAAAAAGAAAAAAAUAAUAAAGAAAAAAUAUUGUCAAAUAAUGUAACAA
This 1027-nucleotide long non-coding RNA is filed under the name Piliocolobus tephrosceles (Ugandan red Colobus). RNAcentral describes it as "lncRNA (ENSPTEG00000000950.1)". The record is from RNAcentral. Lineage: Eukaryota; Metazoa; Chordata; Mammalia; Primates; Cercopithecidae.